CCUCGGUCAGAGCGCUUCACUGGAGCAUAGCGUGGGGGAAUGGCUGCUGAUAACACCGUGUCCAUCCCAGCCAUCCCCACAAACUUUCCUGGAGGAACCCACACCACCGGAGGGGACUGCAGUGGCUCACAACCUCACCCGACCCCAAAGGGCAGCGAUGCAGAUGGCAGUGGAAAAAUCAGGUCAGCGUGCUUUGGAAAGAGCUGAAGGUCAGAGGGAUCUCCUCCAAACCAUCUCUUUGCUGCUUUUGGAUGCUAGGAGAAACCAACUCUGCAUAGAAGCUCUUGGCACAAGGCAGGACCAAGGUUGCCCUGAGAUGCUCUGAGGAAUCGAACUCUUUCACUGCUCAUGCUUUGGCUUUGUUUUCCCUAAGCAGCCGCACAGACGUGCCUGGGAUGGAAGUCAGACAUGGUCUGAAUAGACACGAGGAAUUCAAGCUGGGAAAGUCAGACCCUGUGCACAAAGCAGGAAUUGGAAAGCAGAGCCACUCAGUCCCUGUGUUGCCUUCUUGCUGCCAUGGGCAUCUUCUAAAGACCUCAUCCUUUCACCAGAUGGUCCUUCGGCCCAUCAGGAGACACACGACCCUCCAAGAUGGGUGUCAGCUCCCGAUUUCUUCUGCUCCUGGCUGUUGGAAAGGCAUCCCUGUAUGCUCAUCACUUUCUCCAUUUACAAGUUCUUUCUCUAAACUCCCCAGCCAGGAUCUGGCUCUGUCUCCUCCAUCACCAGCACUGCCCAUCCAUCUGCAAGGGGCUGGAAGCAUCAGGGUAAGCUGGGAGGCUCAGAUGUGAAUGCAGCCCCAGGUUGCUCAACUUUCUUCUCUUUCCCAAGUUUCUUCUCAGUCCCAGGUUUGGUCUCAGCUCAAGGCAGAAAGAAGGGUGAAGCAGCAAGAUUUGGAUCAGACCCAAUUUUAGGCACGGAGUUGUUCCCAGUAACAUUCCUUCCUGCAAACCAGAGUGCCGGUUCAAAGCAGAUGGGUUGGUAGCACUCCCAAAUUCCUCGUUGUGCUGGAAUUUAUGCAAAACGUAUAGAAUUAAUGAGUGCAGGGGAAAGGCACUUGGACCGUCCUCACGUUCCUGACCUCUGUGCCACCGCUCCACUCUGCUGUAUGUCACCCAGUGCUCUCCCCAGACAAUGUCCCAUUGAUUGCCCAAGGGGAUCAUGGCACUGGGGGGGCCGUGCUGAUGCUCUGCAGCGUGGCUGGGCACUGCUGGGCUGUUGGGAACACAUUGCACAAUGCCCAGCCUGUGUCUGUUGGUGCAUCACCAACACAGUGUCACAGGGGGCAACACAAGGGUCUCAUGGUGCAGGGGCACAGACAUGCCUUUCUCAGGACGAUGAGAGUCAUUGAUUUAUUCCCUUUUCACACUGGAAACAGAAUGCCCUUUAAAAAGAAAGCUUGAGCAGCGCUGCCCCCCUCUCACCCUGCUGCAAACCCUGAGCUCACCGUGAGUGAUGUGACCCAUCUGGAGGAGACCCCAGCCCCUUGCUUCCAGAGCAUCCAUCAGAACCUCUUCCCAUGGGCAGUGUCCCUAGAUUCCUAUUUUUCAGCUGAGUCCGGGGGGAAGAAAAGCUCAAUCAAGAAACUCCUGGCCCAGCUGCAGUUUGCAGUGCAGGGCAGGAACCCAGGCAUUGCUGAGCAAGGUACCAGCAUGGCCAUGGGAUGCAUGGCAGCUCUGAGGGCUGGGAUCCCCGUCCCUAUUCUGUCCCCAGGGCCAUGCAGGGGCUUUGCUCAUCCCAGCUGCCCUGUGCCACGCAGGGAUGCUGCUUGAUUGUGUUUUACUUAACCUUCAAUACCAUGUUAUUUCUAUUUAAGCCUCAUUCCAAAACAGAGCCUAUAAGCGAUAACAGAGCAAACAGACCUUCUGUCCCCUCUCCCUCCCUUAGGAAAUAUUUUUAGCUCUCGUAAACACAAACCAUUUAAGCACUUGAGAGCAUCCCAAGGGAUGCAGCCUUCCUCUCCAUCCUUUGCAGCCUACAGCACAACCCCAAAUCACACCCUGAUUUCUGGGCUCAGGCACCAUUGCAGGCACAGCUCUGCAAAGCAGGCGCUAAACUGGGAGUUACUUUCAAAGGAAACCCAAAGGAAGAAGCUGUUCAGAGCUCAGCUAGCUUUCCCACAAUGUCUCAUAGCUCUGAAAACAUUUCGUCCCUGUUGCUCCUGCUCCCACAUGCAGUGCAGGAGAUGCUGAGCAGGUGACUGGUGAGCACCAAAAUGCAUCUCUCCAACAUCUGCUCCCAGCUUUGGACGGAAUCACUGCACUUCUCACCAAGUGUUCCUAAAAAUUCAUGGAAAAUUCAUCCAUAGAGUGUGCUGAGCACAAGAUGUCCCCAGAAAUAGGGACAGCCAAGAAAAGGUUGGAGGAAGCCACCAGUGCUGGGAAAGGAAACUGGGAAAUGCUUUGAUGAGAGCACAUAUGGUGCGUGCUUGGAUGCAGCAGUCCGCCAAAGAAGCUGGGGACUGGGACAUGGUUUGGGACAGAAAGAGACUGUGGGAUCUGGGGUGGCUUUGCAGAGCUUGGCUGGCUGGGGAGCUGCAGCCUGGGGAAGGGGCUCAGUGGCACUCGGAUGGAGCGAGAUCAGAGCUGGGCUCACAUCCAAGGUUCAGGGCAGGGCACAACUGCAAAUUUCCCAAGCUACCCAAGCUCCUGGGCCUGCAGCUCUGCAGCCUCCUGGGAUCAGAUUCCCAUAAUGGAUUCCCAGCUGCAAAGAUAGAAAGCAUCCCAAAAGGGGCAAAGUACCAUCUGCUGAGCAGCCUCGUUCUCAGGCUAUUUGGGGUAUUUUUAUUUCUGAAGAAAGCAGAGAGCCAGGAGGAAUUUCACCCUGAUUCCAAACUCCUGUUUUCCUUCUCCCUUCCCCUGCAGUGAUGCAACCCCAUCCAACAGUAGCAGCUCUUCCCGCCAUCCUGUCCCCAAAUCCCUCUUGCUGUGAAAGCAUCCCAUUGCCAUCACGUGCAAAAGGGCACAAACUUGUGCUCUGCUUUCUCCCUCCGUUAGGCAUGUCUAGAAGUGAUUUUCCCAGUUCAACCCAGUAAGUGACUUAAGGCAUCCAUGGAAUGUGCCAGGUGGUCCCUUUGGUCUGUGGAUGCAUUUGGUUUUAGUCAGGGCCACAGGAGCCAUCUGAGUGCUUCCUCUGAGCGUGCCAUGAGCAGCCCCAAUGCUGAACUAAUGUUAUCUUAGCAAAUGGCUUUGUUAUGGCUGGGGGAUUCCUUCAGGGGCAGUUUUUAAUCUCGCAAAGCAGCAAUCCUGAUGCAGGGGGAAGUCUUUCAUUAUCGGCUCUGAGGGGCUCUCAGAUGGGAGAUUAGGGGAAAGGCACACGAAUCCCAUUCCCAAAGAAGGAAAACGUGGAGUCUCUUUGCUGAGGUGUGGGAAUGCCUGGGGGAUGCUCGGUGCAGCUCCAACCACAUGAAUGCCAUCACAUCCACAGCAGCACCACCUCUCCUUUACUCUUUUUGUUUCAUCCCCACCCAACCCACCACACCGUGCCCACUGCCCACAUCCUUCAGUGCCACAUCCCUACAGCUCUGCAACACCCCCAGGAAUGGUGAUACCCCCACCUCCCCUGGGCAGCUGUGUGAUGCAGCACUGCUCUCCUCCCCAGAAACUGAAACUGGUCCUUGGAAAGAAGCAGAGGAGCAGACAAAGGGCUGAAUCCUGAGGAUGUGAAGUGCUUUGCGUAUCCCCUGCAGCCAGCCAGCCUCUGCUACAGCAAAGCAAUGGAAUUUCUUGCAAACGUCCUGAUCUAUCUGAUAUUUUCCUGACCUAUCCCCAAAAAGCCAGUCCUAAUGUCUAGAACAAGGAGGACACGGCUGCACCUGCAUCUCCUAACCUACUGGCAUCCAUUGGCUGCAUCCAUCCGUCUCCCUGUGCUUUAUCAACAUCUCCAGCCUCUGUGCCACGAGGGGAAUGUCAUCGGGUUUUUAUCUCCUUUCUGCUCUGGGCUUAUCAGUGAUUUGUUUAAUUCGAGUUUAUGGCUUCCCUUGUUCAUUUUGUCACUCGGUUUCCUCAAUCCCGAUGGCUGCCGAAAGGAGACAAUGAAAUUUUAA
This is an RNA transcript of Lagopus muta (rock ptarmigan), 4042 nucleotides long. RefSeq lists it as uncharacterized. The record is from RefSeq and is a predicted model, not a curated record. The transcript is spliced from 3 exons. Lineage: Eukaryota; Metazoa; Chordata; Aves; Galliformes; Phasianidae.